Molecule: unclassified non-coding RNA, 219 nt
Filed under: uncultured Bartonella sp.
Lineage: Bacteria; Pseudomonadati; Pseudomonadota; Alphaproteobacteria; Hyphomicrobiales; Bartonellaceae
Description: partial 16S-23S ribosomal RNA intergenic spacer
Source: RNAcentral
AACGUCCGGCGAUCUCUUAAUAAGCCUCUCUCAUUUUCAUUCCCGAAGGUUCAGAUAUAUGUUGAAACUUAUGGAACUUUAAGAACAUGAAUUUUAAAGAGGCUUUAUGAAUAUGGGUUUUAAGCUUUUCCCGUAAUUUAAGAUGAUACCGGGGAAGGCUUUCCGGUUUAUCCAUCCAGUGACUUAAGAUGAUACCGGGGAAGGUUUUCCGGUUUAUCC